UACGAAGGGGGCUAGCGUUGCUCGGAAUCACUGGGCGUAAAGCGCACGUAGGCGGCUUUCUAAGUCAGGGGUGAAAUCCUGGAGCUCAACUCCAGAACUGCCUUCGAUACUGAUUGGCUUGAGACCGGAAGAGGUCAGUGGAACUGCGAGUGUAGAGGUGAAAUUCGUAGAUAUUCGCAAGAACACCAGUGGCGAAGGCGGCUGACUGGUCCGGUUCUGACGCUGAGGCGCGAAAGCGUGGGGAGCAAACAGG
This 253-nucleotide ribosomal RNA is filed under the name uncultured bacterium. RNAcentral's name for it is "partial 16S ribosomal RNA". It matches the Rfam family "Bacterial small subunit ribosomal RNA", at positions 524 to 776 of the family's 1533-position model. The record is from RNAcentral.